RNAcentral lists this ribosomal RNA (136 nucleotides) under uncultured Rhodococcus sp. Its description in RNAcentral is "partial 16S ribosomal RNA". It matches the Rfam family "Bacterial small subunit ribosomal RNA", at positions 355 to 503 of the family's 1533-position model. The record is from RNAcentral. Lineage: Bacteria; Bacillati; Actinomycetota; Actinomycetes; Mycobacteriales; Nocardiaceae.
UGGGGAAUAUUGCACAAUGGGCGAAAGCCUGAUGCAGCGACGCCGCGUGAGGGAUGACGGCCUUCGGGUUGUAAACCUCUUUCAGCAGGGACGAAGCGCAAGUGACGGUACCUGCAGAAGAAGCACCGGCUAACUC